Molecule: long non-coding RNA, 2722 nt
Organism: Xenopus laevis (African clawed frog)
Lineage: Eukaryota; Metazoa; Chordata; Amphibia; Anura; Pipidae
Exons: 2
Source: RefSeq, a predicted model, not a curated record
UAUAUAUAGAUAGAUAGAUAGAUAGAUAGAUAGAUAGAUAAAUAUAUAUAGAAACCCAGGCAGGUCUCUGCACUCCCUUCAGGGCAAUCAGGACCGGGUGCUGCAGCAGCGCUUCUCAUACAUCAAAUCCACAGUUGUAAGCAGCCCACACUGGAGUUUAAAAAAAUUUGUUUCUUUAUUUAUCAAAAGAUUAAAACCAUAGUCGCAAGGAUCAACGUUUCGGUCAGGAUCUAAGACUGUUAUCAAGAUCCAGAAUCACAUGUUGUGGUACAAUUUAUAGUCAAAUUUACAUAAUUAAUUGAACACAGGGAAUCAGAAGAUACACACACUGACAAGAAUAAUCAAGAUAUGCAAAUCUGUAUCACAGAGUAUCCAAACUACCUCUUAUCUCUCUGUGUAUCAUUAUCUUAAUAAUAAAGUAUCUGUCUAAUCUGGCAACAUUGCAACAAAGUUAACUUAUAUCAAUAAACACAUCAGAACAGAGAAUAAUGGAUACAUUCAAAAAGUAUUUUAUCUUUGUGUGAGGAAGCAUGUAAGGGACAGUUGUUCAUUAAGCCCAUAUGGUGCCAUUGUAUUAAGUUUAUUGAUCCAAAAACAUUCCCUCUGUAAGAGCAUUUUGGAUCUGUCACCACCCCUUUUAAGGGGAGGUAUAUGAUCAAUGCCAAUGUAUUUAAAAGUGGGUAAAUGAUGCCCCUUUUCUAAGAAAUGUUUCGCCACAGGUUUCAAUGAUUUAUUGUCCCUGAACGCAGUGCUGAUAGCGGAUCUAUGACCAUCCAUUCUGAGACGCAAAGUUUGAUCGGUCUUACCAACAUAAGAGAGACCGCACGGGCAGGUAAUCAGGUAAAUAACAUGUGUUGUGGUGCAGGUGAUAUGUGACCUAAUGGAAAAUCUUUUACCCGUAUGAGGAUGCACAAAACUUUGUCCUGGCGACAUAUAUCGGCAUGAUGUACAACUGGGGCAUCUGUAGCAACCCAUCUUCAGACUUAGGAAACAGAAUGUUGCCCCUGUGCUUUGCAGCCAGCAUGGAGCAUAUGGGACAUGCCUUGAUACAUUACAUCAACAAACAUGAUUCAUCUGCUCUGAUCCUUGACUGUUUCAUCAGGACGCAUCCCUACGUUUCUUCUGCAUCUUGCAAGGACUUUUUUUGUUGAAGCAAUCUUUGCCUUCGGUUCUUUCAUGGGAAAGCAAAGCAGCAGGGAGCAGUCACACAACCAGAAUCUGCCAACAAGUCAGUGGCUGUCAUAUCUACAUACAAUUAGUCCGAGCUCAGAUAUCCAUCCAUAUGUGAUUGAUGCCCUGGUCACAGGAUGUAAGCUUCUGCUGGAGCCUUUCCCAAAAAAGAGAAAUUGCCAUUAUUUGCUCCAAGUGUUUAAUGAAGAAGAUGCUGGGUAUUUAUUUAUACUGGAAGUCUCUGUAUUCACUAAAUAGAUGUGUGUGUGUGGUCUGGCUGAUUAAGUCACGCCUAACCAAAACAAUCUGCACAUGGACCUCGCUUGUGCUACGGAUGCACCCUUUACAAACUGCCAUUAUCAGGCUCAGAAUUCUAUUCUAGCCAUAAGACUUAAGCUCGCCAUACACAGGUCAAUAAAAAAGCUGCUGACCCCGGCCCUCCAUACCAAGUUGAGAGUUUAUUAGCCUGUGUAUGGGUCCUAUCAAUAUCAAUAUUCGCCAGUGUGACGUAAUUUCGUUACUUCGCCAAUUUACUAACGGCCGCUGACGUAAAUUCGCUAGCGAAGUGACCUACUCUAGCGCUACUUCGCACCCUUACGCCAGGCGAAGUUGCGCUAUGGCAAAUGGGACGUAACUACGCUAAUUCACUAACUUGCGCAUUUUACUGAACAUUACCUCUUGCGUUAGACUUGCCUUCGCCACCUGAGACCAGGCAAAGUGCAAUAGAGUAGAUAGCGAUUGCUUCAAAAAAAGUUGAAAUUUUUUCUAAGUCCCAAAAAACGCUGGCGUCUUUUCCUUUUUUAAGGGUGAUAGGCUGAAAAAGAUUGUAAAUUUUUUUGGGGGUACCCUCCUUCCCCCCUACAUUUCCUAACAUAUGGCACCUAAACUAUACAGUGGGCACGUGUAUAGAGCAAAAUGAAGCUUUCUCAGGCUUGUGUAGUGUAAUGUAUUUGCUUUAACUUGGCGCCAUAUGCAAAUUAGGCAUCGCUAGCGUAACUUUGCUUUGCUUGAUGAAUUAAUGCGAGUGCAACUUCGGAUGUUAGUGAAUUAGCGGCCCCCUGGUGAAACUUCAUCUGGCGAAGUGUGGCGAAGCCUGUGCUAGCGCAACUCCACAGGUUAGUGAAUUUGCCCCUAUGUGAAUUGCAUGGCCUGCAACAUGCUGUGGUGCACUUGAUUCCCACCACAACCGUCAAAUCCACCCAAGCAAUUGUGCUGCUCUUUCCUGAGGCUCCUCCAGUGACCAAUCAUUAAUUCCAGACCUGAUAUUGACUCUUCUCUAUCCUCAGUCUGGUUGAUGGCUUCUUCAUUUGUUUAGUAAUUAAAGUCAUGGCCGAGUCCAAGCAAGUGACAUUAAAUGCCUUGAUUACUCGUCCUGGCUUCAUGGUUGUCUGGCUUUAUACAAUUACUGAUAGCUUUAUAUUGUAAAGUAAACCCAUUAGCCGCCGGUUUAUUCACUUCAUUAUUAUUGAGCUGCCUCUGCCUUGUACAUUUAUUAUUGUUUAUUUAUACAACAUCUCUGUGAUAUAAACCAAAUAAACUUUAUUCGUUAUAA